CGACUCUCGGCAACGGAUAUCUCGGCUCGCGCAUCGAUGAAGAACGUAGCAAAAUGCGAUACUUGGUGUGAAUUGCAGAAUCCCGUGAACCAUCGAGUUUUUGAACGCAAGUUGCGCCCGAAGCCAUUCGGUUGAGGGCACGUCUGCCUGGGCGUCACG
This 159-nucleotide ribosomal RNA is filed under the name Melampodium dicoelocarpum. RNAcentral's name for it is "5.8S ribosomal RNA". It matches the Rfam family "5.8S ribosomal RNA". From Rfam's summary of the family: 5.8S ribosomal RNA (5.8S rRNA) is a component of the large subunit of the eukaryotic ribosome. It is transcribed by RNA polymerase I as part of the 45S precursor that also contains 18S and 28S rRNA. The record is from RNAcentral. Lineage: Eukaryota; Viridiplantae; Streptophyta; Magnoliopsida; Asterales; Asteraceae.